AGAGAACCGACCCGAUGGAUCAAACCACCAUUUACCACACCGCUGUCACCCAUGACUCCCCCUGGACCGACGGGCACAAUAGAUUCCCGCCGGUCAUUGUGUGGUCCUACUGUGUCCAUCUGCAGAGGUGGGAAGAAAGUCUUCAUUGAGGGCCAGACGCAUCUCUGGACCGAGAUCCUGCAGAGUCUUGAGACCUGCUUUACAUAACUGUAAACACAUGCACGUCAAUACACACCCGUUGUAGGAUUAGUGACCGUAUGGCUGACAGACCUGUACGGCUGACGGGUUGGUGGCGUCAGUCUCCACACUCAGACCCCCUCUCUCCUUCCUCUUCCGGAACUUGCGGAAGUAAUCUUGGAUCAGGAAAGUGGCAUAGAACUUCCCAACUGUCACUUCCUCCUCUGCAGCAGGAAACACCAGAGAGACAGAGACUGGUACAGAUCUUCUUGAUGAUCCCCCUUAGCUCCUCGUUCUCCUGAUCUGGGUUGCCUGGCGACAGCACCGCAUGUCAAAAGACAGCCAUGUUGACUGAAACAUUUGUUUCCCGAGGACAUACCUUCGGUCUUGAUCUUCAGUGCCGUGCGGACCAGCGCAAAGAGGGUGGCGUUGAAUGUCACCAUGCCGUCUGCAUUCAGAGGCAUGUUCAUAGCCACCAGACGCUACCAACAGCAACAUCAACACCGAGGCAGGAAAGUUUAAUGCACGCAGGAAGUGACUUUUGGCUUCAGCCUCAUGUGUUCCACCGAAUACUUUAUGUUUUACAUAUGUUAGCUUUAAUUACCUUACACGCUACUCUGUGAGGACACAGUUUUCCAAAGCCAAGAGGAGGUUGUAUCCUUCGAAGUAGAGCCACAACAUCCAAAUGUUUAAUGCGACCCCUGUGCAACAAUAACACAGAAAUGGAUGACUCCUCCUACUCCUACCAAUUAUGAAAAAAAAUAAUAAUCACGAUUAUUUUCAUUAUUGACAUCACGAUUAGUAAACACGGUUAUUCACUGAUUUCGAAACUUAGUAUUUAGUCAACUUUAAGCAUAACUUAAAUGAACAACCAGAAAAUACAUUUGCAAAAGGUAAAGUAAUAAUAAUAAUAAUAAUAAUAAUAGUAAUAAUAAAAAAAAAAUAAAACAAAUACAGACAUGCUUAAAAAUGUGCCAAUGUUUUUAGCCAUGACUGUAUUGUCUAUAAAAUAUAUAUUUGUCUAAAAAACACGAUUAUUCAUUGAAUUCGAAACUUUAAAUACAACUUGGCACGAUGGAGACUGGUUGGAGCGUCUGCCUCACAGUUCUGAGGACCGGGGUUACCCACGAGCAAUUUAGAGUCUUCAAUCAACCUACCACGCAUGUUUUUGGGAUGUGGGAGGAAACCGGAGUGCCCGGAGAAAACCCACCCAGGCACGGGGAGAACAUGCUAACUCCACACAGGCGGGGCCCGGGAUUUGAAUCCCGGUCCCCAGAACUGUGAGGCAGAUGUGGUAACCAGUCGGUAGGUAAAAUAACAACAACAAUAAUGAUAAUAAUAAUGAAUAAAAAAAAUAUAGACACGGUUAAAAAUGUGCCAAUGUUUUUAGCCAUUAA
This is a long non-coding RNA of Phyllopteryx taeniolatus (common seadragon), 1574 nucleotides long. RefSeq lists it as uncharacterized. The record is from RefSeq and is a predicted model, not a curated record. The transcript has 3 exons. Lineage: Eukaryota; Metazoa; Chordata; Actinopteri; Syngnathiformes; Syngnathidae.